GCCCAGGUGGUGAAAUUGGUAGACACGCAGUCUUGAGGGGGCUGUGCUCUUACGGGCGUAUGGGUUCAAGUCCCAUUCUGGGCA
Molecule: transfer RNA, 84 nt
Filed under: Flavobacteriales bacterium
Lineage: Bacteria; Pseudomonadati; Bacteroidota; Flavobacteriia; Flavobacteriales
Description: tRNA-Leu
Rfam family: tRNA
About the family: Transfer RNA (tRNA) molecules are approximately 80 nucleotides in length. Their secondary structure includes four short double-helical elements and three loops (D, anti-codon, and T loops). Further hydrogen bonds mediate the characteristic L-shaped molecular structure. tRNAs have two regions of fundamental functional importance: the anti-codon, which is responsible for specific mRNA codon recognition, and the 3' end, to which the tRNAs corresponding amino acid is attached (by aminoacyl-tRNA synthetases). tRNAs cope with the degeneracy of the genetic code in two manners: having more than one tRNA (with a specific anti-codon) for a particular amino acid; and 'wobble' base-pairing, i.e. permitting non-standard base-pairing at the 3rd anti-codon position.
Source: RNAcentral